Molecule: ribosomal RNA, 204 nt
Filed under: uncultured soil bacterium
Lineage: Bacteria
Description: partial 16S ribosomal RNA
Rfam family: Bacterial small subunit ribosomal RNA
Source: RNAcentral
CAGAACGAACGCUGGCGGCAUGCCUAACACAUGCAAGUCGAACGAGACCUUCGGGUCUAGUGGCGCACGGGUGCGUAACGCGUGGGAAUCUGCCCUUGGGUUCGGAAUAACAGUUGGAAACGACUGCUAAUACCGGAUGAUGUCUUCGGACCAAAGAUUUAUCGCCCAGGGAUGAGCCCGCGUAGGAUUAGCUUGUUGUGAGGU